This is a long non-coding RNA of Temnothorax curvispinosus, 796 nucleotides long. RefSeq lists it as uncharacterized. The record is from RefSeq and is a predicted model, not a curated record. NCBI's taxonomy places the organism in Eukaryota, Metazoa, Arthropoda, Insecta, Hymenoptera, Formicidae. The transcript has 4 exons.
UUUACAUUAAAAUUUCUAUUCACCUGUUUCGGCAAGCUUUGAUCUAAGCGAUAUUAUUUCUGGUUUUAUGACGAGCUCAUAAACAAUUCAUCACGCGCAGAAGAACAUAAGUUAUCGUUAAUUUCGACAUCAGAAUUGAAGAUCUACAAAAAAUACAUUAAGGAAGAUGUCGGAAGAUGUUUGAAUAAAGAAUAAAUAAAAAAAUCGCGACUUUACUGGGACGUCACGGCAUAGAAUGGUAAUGAAUCGUGAUAAAUAAUAUCAUCAUUAAUUGUCGUGACAGAUUUCGUGAUCUAUUUAUAGAUCUUACGAUAAGUGACUUCGCGUAUGUUGGAACAGCUAUGAAAAAUGAGAACUAACGAAUUAACGACAGACGCUAUAUAGAUCGAUAUUGUUUGACAGAUAUAAAGACGUGCUAUUUCAACUGUGGAGAGGACAAUAACAUUAAGCAUCCCAGUAUACGUGCAUUCCUCCUGAAGAUUGCUGGACUUGUACGAAGCCAACUUUAAUCGCAUCAGAUCAGAUGGAUAAACUGCAAGAUAUUCAGUUCACCGAUUGUUCUGAGAUUUGGAGACUAGCAGUUACUUCAUGGUUGAGGAUUAUCCGAUGAUCACGGAUGAAAAACACUCACGGCGCGGAGUCAUUCAACAAUUUAAUCGACAGCUCUAAUCUGCUGCGGCUAUGAAGUUUACUUAUUGUUAGAUUGCAGCGACUUCGGAAGUAAAGCUGAACGAAUUCUAUACAAAUCUAUGAAACGAUUGUGUUUCCAUAAAUGACGAUGAGAUUACAUUUAUAU